This 379-nucleotide ribosomal RNA is filed under the name uncultured eukaryote. RNAcentral's name for it is "SSU rRNA". It matches the Rfam family "Eukaryotic small subunit ribosomal RNA", at positions 587 to 972 of the family's 1831-position model. The record is from RNAcentral.
AGCUCCAAUAGCGUAUAUUAAAGUUGUUGCGGUUAAAAAGCUCGUAGUUGGAUUUCUGUGGAGGACGGCCGGUCCGCCUUUUGGGCGUGUAUCUGGUACGGCCUUUGCAUCCUCGUGUGGAACGUGGCGGUGCUUCAUUGCAUUGCGCGGAAUGCACGACUUUUACUUUGAGGAAAUUAGAGUGUUCACGGCAGGCCAUCGCCUUGAAUAUAUUAGCAUGGAAUAAUAAUAUAGGCUUAGCGCUAUUUUUGUUGGUUCUAGUGCGUUAAGAAUGGUUAAUAGGGAUAAUUGGGGUCAUUUGUAUUAUAGCGUCAGAGGUGGAAUUCUUAGAUUGCUAUACGACAAACUACUGCGAAAGCAUUUGACAAGGAUGUUUUCA